GGAGAAUAUUUGACAAUGGGCGAAAGCUUGAUCGAGUAAUGUUACGUGGGUGAUCAGAAGGCUUAAUUGCUGUAAAACUCGUUUCGUCAAGGAUUAUAAUGCAAUCGUACUUGAAGGAGAAGCCCUGACUAACUUCGUGCCAGCAGUCGCGGUAAUACGGAGAGGGCAAGUGUUAUUCGCAUUGACUGGGUGUAAAGGGUGCGUAGGUGGCUUGUUAAGUUUCAAAGUAAAGGUUAAACUCAAAGUUUAAAGGCUUUUUAAUACUAAUAGGCUAGAGUUUACUAGAAGAUAGCUGAACAUUAAGUGUAAAGGUGAAAUUUUUCGAUAUUUAAAGGACAUGCAAUAGGCGAAGGCUGCUAUCUAUUUUAAUACUGACACUGAGGCACAAAAGCAUAGGGAUCA
This 402-nucleotide ribosomal RNA is filed under the name Acanthamoeba sp. IMU14. RNAcentral describes it as "bacterial SSU rRNA". It matches the Rfam family "Bacterial small subunit ribosomal RNA", at positions 356 to 770 of the family's 1533-position model. RNAcentral also lists the same sequence under 1 other name. Lineage: Eukaryota; Discosea; Longamoebia; Acanthamoebidae. The record is from RNAcentral.